AGAACGAACGCUGGCGGCAUGCCUAACACAUGCAAGUCGAACGAGAUCCUUCGGGAUCUAGUGGCGCACGGGUGCGUAACGCGUGGGAACCUGCCCCUCGGUUCGGAAUAACACAGAGAAAUUUGUGCUAAUACCGAAUGAUGACUUCGGUCCAAAGAUUUAUCGCCGAGGGAUGGGCCCGCGUAGGAUUAGCUUGUUGGUGGGGUAAUGGCCUACCAAGGCAACGAUCCUUAGCUGGUCUGAGAGGAUGAUCAGCCACACUGGGACUGAGACACGGCCCAGACUCCUACGGGAGGCAGCAGUGGGGAAUAUUGGACAAUGGGCGAAAGCCUGAUCCAGCAAUGCCGCGUGAGUGAUGAAGGCCUUGGGUUGUAAGCUCUUUACCCGGGAUGAUAAUGACAGUACCGGAGAAUAAGCUCCGGCUAACUCCGCGCCAGCAGCCGC
RNAcentral lists this ribosomal RNA (444 nucleotides) under uncultured bacterium. Its description in RNAcentral is "SSU rRNA". It matches the Rfam family "Bacterial small subunit ribosomal RNA", at positions 26 to 518 of the family's 1533-position model. The record is from RNAcentral.